Molecule: long non-coding RNA, 1688 nt
Organism: Malus domestica (apple)
Lineage: Eukaryota; Viridiplantae; Streptophyta; Magnoliopsida; Rosales; Rosaceae
Source: RefSeq, a predicted model, not a curated record
AAAAUCUGUCCCGUGACCUCACCACCAAUUAUUUCUUUUCCCACACUUUUUCAGCCAAUCAGACAUCUCUCAUCUCUGCCCAAUCAGAAACAUUCUUCUCUCUCUUUCUCUUCUCUUCUUCUUCUCUCCUUACCUGUAACUCUCUAUUCUCUGCAACAACAAAGAUCACUUUCAAAACUUCACAGAUCGAGACUCAAACCACCACCCUUGUGCUCCUUUCAUUCUCACGAACCCAUUUGUACCAACCGAUCAUGAAAUGGACGAGUGUUGAGUGUCCAACUUGAAGCAACUCGGAGCUCUAACUCGAGUGGAGUUUUCCCUAACGUUUUUCUGUUCGAGUUACAAGAUUUUAGGAGUUUUGGAAGCAUCUAGGCAACUCCUCAAGGCCAUUAGCCUAGUUUUGAAGUGGAGCCAAAAAGGAAAACACACGGUUUUGAGACUAUGAGUUUGGGUCCAGGGCUAUCGAGUCUAUUUUGAUCCAUUUCCAUCCAUCUUUUGAACUUUUAAGAGAAUACGGCGAACCAGAUGGCGGAGGACAAUCGAAAAAGAAGGAGAACAUUCCGUCAAAUUUGACGAAAUAUUCUAACGCCGUUAACUGAUGCCGUUACCGUUAGCCGAAUAUUCCGUCAAGUCUGACGUAAUAAUUCCUAGGUAUGUCAGCAUGUGGCCAAUGCGUGGGCACGCGUGUGGCCAUGGGCUAGGAGGCACGUGAAGGUGCGUCCGGCCUCUAGCCGACUUGUGGUCGACGUGUACGGGUCUAUGACUUCUUGUAGAACGUUUUCGUAUAUUUAAACCCUUAGUUUGAGCAAACUAUGGGGGAUUUUCCUAGCCUUUUUGUGUAGGUCCUAAUUAAUUAAUUAGUAAAGUUAUUUCACAUAUAGGUGAGACUUACCCCGAGGAGGUACGAGGACAAAUAAGGCUAGGAGGCUACGACCUAUCGACGUAUCAGUCCUAGUUAGCUGAUUACUCUGUGGCGUAUGAGGAAUAUUCGGCAGUUCUGACAUACCCUUAAAUAAAUGUAGGAGUUUUUCCGAUUGUGUAUUAAGCACUUUAACUAGUUUCGACUGCACACUUUUAUGUCAUCUAUGCUCUGAACACUUAUGUUUUAUGGGUUCUUUCCACUACUGCGCACUCUCUACUUUAGAUUAAAUAAAUGUUAGCUUUGGUUUUAAUUUACCCAUAUUUUUAUGCUUCACUUUCCUUUUUAGUUAUGUCACCUUCAGGUGACGGCCAGCAUGCCUCGACUCCAAUCAAGGUGUGUCAAAUAAUGCUAAAUAUAGGAACAACCUCCCUAUAGCCAUAAAAGUUUUUUGUUCCAAUUUGGACAUAUUAUGUAUAAGAAUAAACUCCAGAUUAUAAUAAGUUAUUAUUAUUUUAGAUGAUGUAUUAAGAAAAUUUGUCUCCAUAUAGUAAUAAUUGUCCAUAGAGUUUAUACCACACCUUUGAGCUGGCCGAUACGUAAUACCUCGUCAACAUGGAUUUCUUCUUGAUGAAGCCAUAUUGUUUCUAGCUUCGCAAAUGUGUUUACAUGCCCUAGAUUUUAAAAAUUGGGGGGUUUUUUUUUUCAUGUUACAUCUUGGAAUUUGCCGUGUUCCACUAGUAGUUUUUUGUAUACAUAUAUUUUUCAUUAAAGAUACCUAAAGUAAAAAAAAUAAAAUAAAAUAAAAAUUAGCUACACCUCUAUUAAG